This 200-nucleotide long non-coding RNA is filed under the name Dunaliella salina. RNAcentral describes it as "long non-coding RNA (DSAL_LNC000297)". Lineage: Eukaryota; Viridiplantae; Chlorophyta; Chlorophyceae; Chlamydomonadales; Dunaliellaceae. The record is from RNAcentral.
AGUUGAACAUGCAGGAUAUGUUGCGCAACUUGCGAGCUGUUUGGCUUAUAGAAUGGCAACAGUGUGAUCGCGUGUAGCUGAGCUAGAGUCCUCUGGGGAUUUGCCCUUUUUCUGGCCUGUUAUGGCAAACAUGUUUUCUUGCUUUUGUGGUUGAGGUGUAAAGGAUGCUUGCAUGAGGGCUUGUUGGGCAUCCAUGCUUG